Oncorhynchus tshawytscha (Chinook salmon) is the source of this 919-nucleotide long non-coding RNA. The record is from Ensembl. NCBI's taxonomy places the organism in Eukaryota, Metazoa, Chordata, Actinopteri, Salmoniformes, Salmonidae.
AUAUAUAUAUAUAUAUAUUUGUUUAACACCUUUUGGUUACUUCAUGAUUCCAUAUGUGUUAUUUCAUAGUUGUGAUGUCUUCACUAUUAUUCUACAACGCAGAGAAAAGUAAAAAUAAAGAAAAACCCUUGAAUGAGUAGUUGUGUCCAAACUUCUGACUGGUACUGUAUAUAUUUAAUGAUCUCGUCAACCAUACUUACAGAGUAAGUGAGUCAACUUACUGGUGUAGCAGUGCAUUGAAACAAGAAGUGUGAUUUUAGUGACUGACACAUUGUGAAAGUAGCCUAGUCAGGGAUUUAAGACAAUCACAUGCAUCAACAGCAUGUCAGAAAGGGAUGUACUGGAUGUACUGCUAAAGACUGCAUAGCUAUUUACAUUUCUUCAUUUGAGGAGUGGGCCUACAUUUUUUAAAGGGGCUAAAUGCAGCCCAUUUCCAAUGUAGUCUUUUCUUUAAAUACAAAUCCACAACAAAGUGUUGACUGUUCUAUAUGGUUUCUUAAUGUGUUGCCUCGCAUAAUGUGACCCAUCACUCAUCAUCAUCUCCAUCAAAGUGCGACUGAAGCGCUCCCUACUGGCAUCUCAACAUUACUGCAGCCUCCUGUCUCUCUUCAUAUGUCCCAAUCAUGUCCUCAUAACCAUUUGGAUCAAUAACAAAAUAACAAACUGUUUAUAAGGUCCACCACUGGAGUCCUGAGGGGAGGAGAGGUCCACCACUGGAGUCCUGAGGGGAGGAGAGGUCCACCACUGGAGUCCUGAGGGGAGGAGAGGUCCACCACUGGAGUCCUGAGGGGAGGAGAGGUCCUCCACUGGAGUCCUGAGGGGAGGAGAGGUCCACCACUGGAGUCAUGAGGGGAGGAGAGGUCCACCACUGGAGUCAUGAGGGGAGGAGAGGUCCACCACUGGAGUCAUGAGGGAGGAG